RNAcentral lists this ribosomal RNA (429 nucleotides) under Pseudomonadota bacterium. Its description in RNAcentral is "Proteobacteria bacterium partial 16S ribosomal RNA". It matches the Rfam family "Bacterial small subunit ribosomal RNA", at positions 355 to 776 of the family's 1533-position model. Lineage: Bacteria; Pseudomonadati; Pseudomonadota. The record is from RNAcentral.
UGGGGAAUAUUGGACAAUGGGGGGAACCCUGAUCCAGCCAUGCCGCGUGUGUGAAGAAGGCCUUAUGGUUGUAAAGCACUUUAAGCGAGGAGGAGGGUACUGGUAUUAAUACUACCAGCUACUGGACGUUACUCGCAGAAUAAGCACCGGCUAACUCUGUGCCAGCAGCCGCGGUAAUACAGAGGGUGCGAGCGUUAAUCGGAUUUACUGGGCGUAAAGCGUGCGUAGGCGGCUAAUUGAGUCGGAUGUGAAAUCCCCGAGCUUAACUUGGGAAUUGCAUUCGAUACUGGUUAGCUAGAGUGUGGGAGAGGAUGGUAGAAUUCCAGGUGUAGCGGUGAAAUGCGUAGAGAUCUGGAGGAAUACCGAUGGCGAAGGCAGCCAUCUGGCCUAACACUGCCGCUGAGGUACGAAAGCAUGGGAGCAAACAGG